RNAcentral lists this ribosomal RNA (456 nucleotides) under uncultured Sphingobacteriales bacterium. RNAcentral's name for it is "bacterial SSU rRNA". It matches the Rfam family "Bacterial small subunit ribosomal RNA", at positions 923 to 1382 of the family's 1533-position model. The record is from RNAcentral. Lineage: Bacteria; Pseudomonadati; Bacteroidota; Sphingobacteriia; Sphingobacteriales.
GCACAAGCGGAGGAGCAUGUGGUUAAUUCGAUGAUACGCGAGGAACCUUACCUGGGCUCGAACGUAAGAUGACUGUAGGUGAAAGCUUACAUCUCUUCGGAGCAUUUUACGAGGUGCUGCAUGGUUGUCGUCAGCUCGUGCCGUGAGGUGUCGGGUUAAGUCCCAUAACGAGCGCAACCCUACCUUAGUUGCCAUCAGGUAAUGCUGGGGACUCUAAAGGAACUGCCUACGCAAGUAGUGGGGAAGGCGGGGAUGACGUCAAAUCAGCACGGCCCUUACGUCCAGGGCUACACACGUGCUACAAUGGCCGAUACAGAGGGCAGCUACCUGGUGACAGGAUGCAAAUCUCCAAAGUCGGUCUCAGUUCGGAUCGGAGUCUGCAACCCGACUCCGUGAAGUUGGAUUCGCUAGUAAUCGCGCAUCAGCCAUGGCGCGGUGAAUACGUUCCCGGGCCUU